UCUAUCUAUCUCUGGCGAACACGACAAUUCGAUCAAUAGGGUUUUCAAAUCUUCCUCUCAAAGAUGACUCACACAUCAUCGGUGAAGCAAUUCUAAGCCAAUCCAUCUUCCUGAAUGUCCUUAGGGUUUACAACUAUUUCUCUCCAAGAUUUUCGAUUACAAUACAAUGGAUUUUGGGGAUCAGUGAUACCAGUAGGUCAAUCAAGAUUGGUUCCGCUUCGAACCCGACGACAGAGAUGAUCAGAGGUUUUCCGGUAAUGGAUUUGUUUUCAUCUAUUUUUCUCAUCCGAUUUGGU
Molecule: long non-coding RNA, 296 nt
Organism: Helianthus annuus (common sunflower)
Lineage: Eukaryota; Viridiplantae; Streptophyta; Magnoliopsida; Asterales; Asteraceae
Exons: 3
Source: RefSeq, a predicted model, not a curated record